GGUAUGUAAAGCUCUAUCAGCAGGGAAGAUAAUGACGGUACCUGACUAAGAAGCCCCGGCUAACUACGUGCCAGCAGCCGCGGUAAUACGUAGGGGGCAAGCGUUAUCCGGAUUUACUGGGUGUAAAGGGAGCGUAGACGGCAAGGCAAGUCUGAUGUGAAAACCCAGGGCUUAACCCUGGGACUGCAUUGGAAACUGUCUGGCUCGAGUGCCGGAGAGGUAAGCGGAAUUCCUAGUGUAGCGGUGAAAUGCGUAGAUAUUAGGAAGAACACCAGUGGCGAAGGCGGCUUACUGGACGGUAACUGACGUUGAGGCUCGAAAGCGUGGGGAGCAAACAGGAUUAGAUACCCUGGUAGUCCCACGCCGUAAACGAUGAAUGCUAGGUGUUGGGGAGCAAAGUCUCUUCGGUGCCGCCGCACAAGCAUUAAGCAUUCCACCUGGGGAGUA
Molecule: ribosomal RNA, 447 nt
Filed under: uncultured bacterium
Lineage: Bacteria
Description: bacterial SSU rRNA
Rfam family: Bacterial small subunit ribosomal RNA
Source: RNAcentral